This 1127-nucleotide unclassified non-coding RNA is filed under the name Hevea brasiliensis (rubber tree). Lineage: Eukaryota; Viridiplantae; Streptophyta; Magnoliopsida; Malpighiales; Euphorbiaceae. The record is from RNAcentral.
GGUUUUUCGGUUUGAACCGAAAUCAACUCACCCCUAUCGGUUUGGUUCAAAAUCAAACCAAACUGAAUAAACUGAAUCCUUUGAAAUAAAAAAUAAAACAAAAACUGAUUUAAUAAAAAACUAAACCGAAUCAAACCAAAUUAUUUUGGUUUGGUUUGGUUUGGUUUGAUAGUUCGGUUUAAAAGAGAAUAAAAGAUACCCAAACUGAUCCAGGAAAAAUCAACUUUCCGUUUCCCUUUCUCUUAAAUCUCAAUAUCAAUCUUCAAUAUCAAAUCUCAACAAUUACAAAGAAGAAAACCCAAAUAGUAUCAUUUAAUGGAAGUAUCAUUAAACUCAACUCAAAUCAACAAUUGCUCUAAAAAUUACUGCAGUUUUCAUUUUGCAGCCAUGCAAGUUUCACUUAAUGGAAACACUUGGAAGUGAGGGGAAGAAAAAAGAUAAAUAAGAGAAAGAAAACCUGUAGCAAAAAAUUGAAAGAGAGAACUCAGAUUUGUGCACUUCAAGACAAAGAAUUUAGAGACAAGUUAAAUAAUAAAAAAAGCAUUUCAGAUUGGCAAUCAAAAUGGGCUCCGAUUAUGAUGGUUUGCAGGACAUCAUCAUUGUGCAGUAACUAAAGCAGGGGGAGUUCAAUGCAAAUGGGCAGACAGCUUCAAAUUCAUGCAGUUCCAGUUCUUUAACACAAGCAGCCAGCACCCAGUAGCGGCAGGGAGAGACGGUGAUUGGGACCGUCGGGCUGAUGGCUGAGGUAGGAUGCUGUGGCAACAUGGAUCGAGGAAUGGAGAAGUGCGAUUUGUGAACUGAGAGGAGAAGGAAUGAGAUAACAGAGAAGAAAUAAGGGAAACAAAGAAUAGGAGAAUAAAAAAAAAAGGAAAAUGAGUUUAUAUUACCACCCUCGUGUCCAGUGUCUCAACCCAAAGUCCCUAACAAUCAACUGCACCAUUUUAUCAUUAUUUUGGUUUGGUUUGGUUCAACUGAUUAUUUUUGUUUAAAUUGAACCGAUCCUAAAAAACUGCAUUAUAUAAAAAUUAAAACCGAACUAAACUAAACUGAAUUUUCGUAAAAACCAAUCUGAAUUUUCAAAUUAAUUCAGUUUGGUCAGUUAUUUCGGUUUGAACCGAAUAAUGCUC